UACGAAGGGGGCUAGCGUUGCUCGGAAUCACUGGGCGUAAAGAGCGCGUAGGCGGCCCUGUAAGUCCGCUGUGAAAGUCAAGGGCUCAACCCUUGGAUGCCGGUGGAUACUGCAGGGCUAGAGUCCGGGAGAGGGAUGCGGAAUUCCAGGUGUAGCGGUGAAAUGCGUAGAUAUCUGGAGGAACACCGGUGGCGAAGGCGGCAUCCUGGACCGGCAUUGACGCUGAGGAGCGAAAGCCAGGGGAGCAAACGGG
Molecule: ribosomal RNA, 253 nt
Filed under: uncultured bacterium
Lineage: Bacteria
Description: partial 16S ribosomal RNA
Rfam family: Bacterial small subunit ribosomal RNA
Source: RNAcentral